AGAUGUAAAAUCUGAGCUGCAACACUGAACAAAAGCUGUAUUUGCCAGUCAGCAAAGAUGCUACCACUCUGCACAACAGAUAAAACCCAUAUAUAUAGGGAAGUCAAAAGAGUCUUUAAGCUACAGUGUUUGAGAGGCUGUUUGUCUCUGAUGGAAAAUUAAGAAAAUGAGUCCAUUUCUAAGAAGAUGUGGUUCGAACAUACAGAGCUACAUAAUAUGAGUAAAAUAGGACCUAACGGUAGUGUUCUCCAGCAUUGCUCUGCCUUUCCUUUUCUGGAUGUAACAACAUUACUAAGAAAGGAAGAAAAAGCAAAAAUCUGCUCUCAGGUAGAUUCCAGCAUGAUGGAAAGCCCCAAAUGGAAGUCUCGGCUUUGGUUACAGGACAUAAGAUUUAAUAAACAAAAAGAUGCUCAUCUGGGAUGCUGCACCAAUUAUCAUGUACUAAAUAAGGUUACCUAUUUCACUCUCCAUGUAGAAAUGUCCAUCAUAAGCAUGUGCCACAGAAGGUCUCACAAGUAUCAUUAUUGGCUGUGUUGAAUUUUGUUUUUAGUUCUGUUUUAUAAGGUCUGUAGUCUUACUUUCAGUGAGGAAGUGUUUUCUCAGGUUCUCAAGAAAGUAACAAAAUGCCAGCAUUGUCAAGGUCACCAUUGCCACUGAAUUAUCUGACUGUCUGAUUAUUCCAUCUUCCUCUGCAUCAUAUUAGCCUGAUGACUACGUUCUAAUUAUUUAAAGCGUUAUGUAAAUCAAAGCAGUAAAUGUAAUUUCUAGUCUUACUAGAUAUCAUGUACAUUAGGUCGAAUAACUCUAGAAAUGUCGUCAUA
RNAcentral lists this non-coding RNA (821 nucleotides) under Pongo abelii (Sumatran orangutan). The record is from RNAcentral. Lineage: Eukaryota; Metazoa; Chordata; Mammalia; Primates; Hominidae.